RNAcentral lists this ribosomal RNA (645 nucleotides) under uncultured bacterium. RNAcentral's name for it is "bacterial SSU rRNA". It matches the Rfam family "Bacterial small subunit ribosomal RNA", at positions 232 to 873 of the family's 1533-position model. The record is from RNAcentral.
CUCGCCCAUCAGCUUGUUGGCGAGUAAUGGCUCACCAAGCUAAGACGGUAGCUGGUCUGAGAGGAUGAACAGCCACACUGGAACUGAGACACGGUCCAGACUCCUACGGGAGGCAGCAGUGGGGAAUCUUGCACAAUGGGCGAAAGCCUGAUGCAGCGACGCCGCGUGAGCGAUGAAGGCCUUCGGGUUGUAAAGCUCUGUGGGGAGGGACGAAUAAGUGCUGGCUAAUAUCCAGUGCGAUGACGGUACCUCCUUAGCAAGCACCGGCUAACUCUGUGCCAGCAGCCGCGGUAAGACAGAGGGUGCAAACGUUGUUCGGAAUCACUGGGCGUAAAGCGCGUGUAGGCGGCUACGUAAGUCGGACGUGAAAUCCCACGGCUCAACUGUGGAAGUGCGCUCGAAACUGUGUAGCUUGAGUCUUGGAGAGGAAGGCGGAAUACUUGGUGUAGAGGUGAAAUUCGUAGAUAUCAGGUAGAACACCAGUGGCGAAGGCGGCCUUCUGGACAAUGACUGACGCUGAGACGCGAAAGCGUGGGGAGCAAACAGGAUUAGAUACCCUGGUAGUCCACGCCGUAAACGAUGAGUGCUAGGUGUCACGAGCUUUGACCCUCGUGGUGCCGAAGCUAACGCGUUAAGCACUCCGCC